Molecule: non-coding RNA, 75 nt
Organism: Caenorhabditis elegans
Lineage: Eukaryota; Metazoa; Nematoda; Chromadorea; Rhabditida; Rhabditidae
Source: Ensembl
UUCUUCUUUUUCUCCCAUUUAUCAUUAUUUAAUCGGUUUCAAUACGAAAUGUGUGCCAUUUCACAUUGAAUUUCU